Molecule: ribosomal RNA, 214 nt
Filed under: uncultured bacterium
Lineage: Bacteria
Description: partial 16S ribosomal RNA
Rfam family: Bacterial small subunit ribosomal RNA
Source: RNAcentral
AGCGAACGCUGGCGGCGUGCUUAACACAUGCAAGUCGAGCGAAGGUGUUUCAAGGGUAACCUUGAGAUACACUUAGCGGCGGACGGGUGAGUAAUACGUGGAUAACUUACCUCUAGGGCCUGGGAUAACCCCGGGAACGUAGGGGCGUAAUACCUGAUAAGACCACAUUGUCUACGGACGAAAGGGGUAAAAGGUGGCUGUGCAAACAGCUAUC